GGUUCAAGUCCCUCUAUCCCCAAAAACUUUUUUCACUCCUUAA
Molecule: transfer RNA, 43 nt
Filed under: Silene viscosa
Lineage: Eukaryota; Viridiplantae; Streptophyta; Magnoliopsida; Caryophyllales; Caryophyllaceae
Also listed under: 2 other names
Description: tRNA-L2
Source: RNAcentral